This 1491-nucleotide long non-coding RNA is filed under the name Oreochromis niloticus (Nile tilapia). RNAcentral's name for it is "lncRNA (ENSONIG00000027823.1)". The record is from RNAcentral. Lineage: Eukaryota; Metazoa; Chordata; Actinopteri; Cichliformes; Cichlidae.
AGAAAAGCAAAUAAACAGACAUUAAAAGGCAGUAUUCCUCGCUAGGUUUUAGUAUAACAUCAGUAGCAGCUGGUGUAUCUGUAAGUAGUUUUUAAUCUCUGAAUAAAACACAUUAUAAAAAUGAGCCAAAAAGAGGAAAUGCAUGGUAGUGAAAUGCAUGAUCUCAAAGCAUUGUGGUAAAGGCAAGAAGAAAAAUAUAAUACUGCUUCUCAGAGGAAGUUUUCAUGUGGGUGAGCUUGAGAUGCUUUUAUCUCAAAAUAACAAAAGCAACACACAGAUGUUUUGUGGUGCUGUUAUAUGUCAUACAUGAAUAUCUGCUGCACUACUUUGAUACAAGAGGAGGAAGUGAUCUGAAGGUGUUGCAUGCAGAUAUAUUUGCCCUAAUUUCCAUGUCAAAUUGGUCAUAAAACUUUGUAGUUUUAAGAAGAUGACUUCUGCUUUUAAGCAAUCAUUCUUUAAUAAGACAGCAGCUGGGGUUUUUGAAAGCUCAUUAGUCAACUUUCUGAUUAGACAGCGCAGUCUGCAACAACCAUGCUCUUCACAGAAGCUGAAUGUUUGUUCUGGGUUUUUGUUCUCUGUCUCUCAGGUGUUCAGGGACAAACAAACAGCAUCUGUGCCUUGAAAGGUUCAUCAGUAAAUCUGUCCUGCUCACAUCAACAUCCAACUUCAAGCAUGAACUGGUACAGUGUACACAGGGGGGGCUUGAAGAUUGAGACCUCUGCAGAUGGAAAGUACAGCAUGUCAGCAGAGAGUAACUUGACUCUGACAGUCAACAAUCUAGCAGAGAAUGAUGCAAACAUUUACUGCUGCAGACAACCUGCUGACAAAUCAGACUGCGGCCAAAGGGGAAUUUCUCUCAGUGUUGCAGGUACAGUGGUUUUAUCAAACGCGUGAAGAACCGAUUGUUUUAUGAAUAAUCAGUGUAUUGAUAUUAUUUCUAUUAAUAAUCCUCUCAGAGCUGCAGGUAAAGGUGAUUCCUGCCACAGAGGGACAGACAGUAACACUGAUGUGCAGCAGCAGCUGUCCUCUGACUGAAAAGCCUGCAGCCUACAUCUGGUACAAGAACAGAGAGUUUCUCUAUGAGGACUGGUCUCCCUGGUACCAAGAGCUGCUCAGCAGUGAGGAAGCAGUCACAUACUCCUGUGCUGUCAAAGGUUACGAGGCUCUCAGAGCCCCUGAAGUCUCUGUGGGUGAGUCAUGAUGUUCAGUCAAAUGAUUUUCAGUAAACAUACUCAGUAUGCUAAUAUUUAAUUUCAUCUAGAUUUCAUCACAUCAGCAUGCUUCAAUGUGACCUAUGCUAAAAGGGAAAUGUGUCGUUAUGAGCAGGCAUCAGUAGAUGAGCCUUAUUCCAUCACAUUUCCCAGAGAUGAACACACAAACACAUCUUCUUACUGAUCUGUGGAGUACACUGUUUCUAUUUCUAUUGUUUCUAUUCACUUUUUAAAAAUUAUUUAAUUAACUGGAUCACAUAUGUAUUUAAUUGCAUUAAAC